GCAUUAGUGGUUCAGUGGUAGAAUUUUCAUCACCAUGCAGGAGGCCUGGGUUUGAUUCCCAGCCAAUGCA
RNAcentral lists this transfer RNA (70 nucleotides) under Ictidomys tridecemlineatus (thirteen-lined ground squirrel). RNAcentral describes it as "Spermophilus tridecemlineatus (thirteen-lined ground squirrel) tRNA". It matches the Rfam family "tRNA". Rfam says of the family: Transfer RNA (tRNA) molecules are approximately 80 nucleotides in length. Lineage: Eukaryota; Metazoa; Chordata; Mammalia; Rodentia; Sciuridae. The record is from Rfam by way of RNAcentral.